This 414-nucleotide ribosomal RNA is filed under the name uncultured Sphingobacterium sp. Its description in RNAcentral is "partial 16S ribosomal RNA". It matches the Rfam family "Bacterial small subunit ribosomal RNA", at positions 9 to 416 of the family's 1533-position model. Lineage: Bacteria; Pseudomonadati; Bacteroidota; Sphingobacteriia; Sphingobacteriales; Sphingobacteriaceae. The record is from RNAcentral.
GAGUUUGAUCCUGGCUCAGGAUGAACGCUAGCGGCAGGCCUAAUACAUGCAAGUCGAACGGGGUUAAGUAGCAAUACUUAGCUCAGUGGCGCACGGGUGCGUAACGCGUAUGCAACCUACCUUAAACUGGGGGAUAGCCUUCCGAAAGGGAGAUUAAUACCGCAUAAGAUCACGAGAGGGCAUCUGAUAGUGAUUAAAGAUUUAUUGGUUUAAGAUGGGCAUGCGUGCCAUUAGCUAGUUGGUAGUGUAACGGACUACCGAAGGCGACGAUGGCGUAGGGGUUCUGAGAGGAUGACUCCCCCACACUGGUACUGAGAUACCGGCCAGACUCCGUAGGGAGGCAGCAGGUGGGAAUAGUUGGACAAGUGGGCGACAAGCCUGACUCCAGCCAUCGCCGCGUGGAUGAUGGAACGG